This 980-nucleotide ribosomal RNA is filed under the name Copepoda environmental sample. Its description in RNAcentral is "SSU rRNA". It matches the Rfam family "Eukaryotic small subunit ribosomal RNA", at positions 315 to 1295 of the family's 1831-position model. The record is from RNAcentral. Lineage: Eukaryota; Metazoa; Arthropoda; Copepoda.
UCAACUGUCGACUGUGGCAUAGACGCCCACAGUGGUUUUGACGGGUAACGGGGAAUCAGGGUUCGAUUCCGGAGAGGGAGCCUUAAAAACGGCUACCACAUCUAAGGAAGGCAGCAGGCACGCAAAUUACCCAAUGACCGAAGGUCGAGGUAGUGACGAAAAAUAACGAUAGAGGACUCAUCCGAGGCCCUCUAAUUGGAAUGAGUACACUUUAAAACCGUCCCCGAGGAUCUAUUGGAGGGCAAGUCUGGUGCCAGCAGCCGCGGUAAUUCCAGCUCCAAUAGCGUAUAUUAAAGUUGUUGUGGUUAAAAAGCUCGUAGUUGGAUCUCAACAGCCUUGAAGCGGUUAAUUUUGUAGUUUUACUGCUUUAUAGGCUGUGCUUUUGCUGGAGGUUUAGGGGUGCUCUUGAUCGAGUGUCUCUGGAUGCCAGCAGGUUUACUUUGAAAAAAUUAGAGUGCUCAAAGCAGGCUAAAAUGCCUGAAUAUUCGUGCAUGGAAUAAUAGAAUAGGAUGUCGAUCCUAUUUUGUUGGUUUUCGGGACUCGACAUAAUGAUAAAUAGGGACAGUCGGGGGCAUUUGUAUUCAAACGACAGAGGUGAAAUUCUUGGACCGUUUGAAGACAAACUACUGCGAAAGCAUUUGCCAAGAAUGUUUUCAUUAAUCAAGAACGAAAGUUAGAGGUUCGAAGGCGAUUAGAUACCGCCCUAGUUCUAACCAUAAACGAUGCCAGCUAGCGAUCUGCCUGCGUUUUUACUGUAGACUGGGCAGGAAGCUUCCGGGAAACCAAAGCAUUUGGGUUCCAGGGGAAGUAUGGUUGCAAAGCUGAAACUUAAAGGAAUUGACGGAAGGGCACCACCAGGAGUGGAGCCUGUGGCUUAAUUUGACUCAACACGGGAAAUCUCACCAGGCCCGGACACUGGAAGGAUUGACAGAUUGAUAGCUCUUUCUUGAUUCGGUGGGUGGUGGUGCAUGCCCGUUCUU